GAUGAACGCUGGCGGCGUGCCUAAUACAUGCAAGUCGAGCGAACAGACGAGGAGCUUGCUCCUCUGACGUUAGCGGCGGACGGGUGAGUAACACGUGGAUAACCUACCUAUAAGACUGGGAUAACUUCGGGAAACCGGAGCUAAUACCGGAUAAUAUAUUGCACCUCAUGGUUCAAUAGUGAAAGACGGUUUUGCUGUCACUUAUAGAUGGAUCCGCGCCGCAUUAGCUAGUUGGUAAGGUAACGGCUUACCAAGGCAACGAUGCGUAGCCGACCUGAGAGGGUGAUCGGCCACACUGGAACUGAGACACGGUCCAGACUCCUACGGGAGGCAGCAGUAGGGAAUCUUCCGCAAUGGGCGAAAGCUUGACGGAGCAACGCCGCGUGAGUGAUGAAGGUCUUCGGAUCGUAAAACUCUGUUAUUAGGGAAGAACAAAUGUGUAAGUAACUAUGCACGUCUUGACGGUACCUAAUCAGAAAGCCACGGCUAACUACGUG
This 497-nucleotide ribosomal RNA is filed under the name uncultured bacterium. RNAcentral's name for it is "partial 16S ribosomal RNA". It matches the Rfam family "Bacterial small subunit ribosomal RNA", at positions 28 to 507 of the family's 1533-position model. The record is from RNAcentral.